RNAcentral lists this long non-coding RNA (514 nucleotides) under Cricetulus griseus (Chinese hamster). Its description in RNAcentral is "lncRNA (ENSCGRG00015037982.1)". Lineage: Eukaryota; Metazoa; Chordata; Mammalia; Rodentia; Cricetidae. The record is from RNAcentral.
AGUUGCCAUAUGAUCCUGGGAAGAGAGGAUGAAUGUCGCUGGCAUCCUUGGAAUGGGAUGACUGAAGUUGUUUCUCCAGAGACUUCAGAGUGAAGUCCUUUCAUGAGCAAUAUUCUCCAACCUACACUUCACUUGAUCCACCACAACUGGCACAUUCUCAUUUCGUGGCAAUUUCCAAAUAGAAAGAAAACGAGUUUGAAGAUGAUCAAAGUAGACAUUGUUGGUCUCCACCUGGAUCCCUGAGUAUUCCUGCUGCUGCUGCUGCUGCUACACGAUCAACUCUGUUACUUAGGACACUUUUGGUGACAAAUGUAGGGAGGAGUUUGGUUCACUCUGUCUCCCAAACCAAUUUUCUCACAAAUUUCAAGCCGACUUGGUGUCCUACACUUUAACUCAUUUCUGACAUUAACUUUGAAGAAUUACCUCAGACCCUACUUGUUAAGCACUGAGUGUUACAACCUUACUUCGGGUGCUAGUUGCAUGAUUGUCUGACUAUAAAUAAAAGGUUCCUAUA